GACGAACGCUGGCGGCGUGCCUAAUACAUGCAAGUAGAACGCUGAAGGAGGAGCUUGCUUCUCUGGAUGAGUUGCGAACGGGUGAGUAACGCGUAGGUAACCUGCCUGGUAGCGGGGGAUAACUAUUGGGAACGAUAGCUAAUACCGCAUAAUAGUAGAUGUUGCAUGACAUUUGCUUAAAAGGUGCAAUUGCAUCACUACCAGAUGGACCUGCGUUGUAUUAGCUAGUUGGUGAGGUAACGGCUCACCAAGGCAACGAUACAUAGCCGACCUGAGAGGGUGAUCGGCCACACUGGGACUGAGACACGGCCCAGACUCCUACGGGAGGCAGCAGUAGGGAAUCUUCGGCAAUGGGCGGAAGUCUGACCGAGCAACGCCGCGUGAGUGAAGAAGGGUUUCGGAUCGUAAAGCUCUGUUGUAAGAGAAGAACGAGUGUGAGAGUGGAAAGUUCACACUGUGACGGUAUCUUACCAGAAAGGGACGGCUAACUACGUG
This 495-nucleotide ribosomal RNA is filed under the name uncultured bacterium. Its description in RNAcentral is "partial 16S ribosomal RNA". It matches the Rfam family "Bacterial small subunit ribosomal RNA", at positions 28 to 507 of the family's 1533-position model. The record is from RNAcentral.